Molecule: ribosomal RNA, 253 nt
Filed under: uncultured bacterium
Lineage: Bacteria
Description: partial 16S ribosomal RNA
Rfam family: Bacterial small subunit ribosomal RNA
Source: RNAcentral
UACGAAGGGGGCUAGCGUUGUUCGGAAUUACUGGGCGUAAAGCGCACGUAGGCGGAUGUUUAAGUCGGGGGUGAAAUCCCAGGGCUCAACCCUGGAACUGCCUUCGAUACUGGACGUCUUGAGUCCGAGAGAGGUGAGUGGAAUUCCGAGUGUAGAGGUGAAAUUCGUAGAUAUUCGGAAGAACACCAGUGGCGAAGGCGGCUCACUGGCUCGGAACUGACGCUCAUGCACGACAGCGUGGGGAUCAAACAGG